AAAGCAAAGCUAAGUGGUGAAUUUGACAUGAAAGACCUAGAUAAGGCUAAGAGAAUUCUAGGCAUGGAAAUCGAAAGAGAUAGGUCCAAUUCUGUCUUGUUUUUGCAUCUGUCUCCAUAUAUAUCUAAGGUGCUAAAGAAAUUUAAUAUGAAUAAUUGCAAACCUGUUACGUUGCCUCUCACUAAUCACUUUGUUUUAUCUAAAGAACAAGCUCCUUGCAAUGAACGUGAAGUAGAAUACAUGAGUAGAAUCCCGUAUUCUAAUGUGAUUGGUUCCAUAAUGUAUUUGAUGAUUUGCACUAUACCAGAUUUAGGUUUUGCUAUUAGUACUCUAAGCAUAUACAUGUCUAAUCCGGAUCCUGAACAUUGGGAAGCAUUAAAGUGGCUAUUAAGAUACUUAAAAGGUACUGGUGACGUAGGUUUAAAGUUUAGUGCUAAUAAGGAAGGUGUAAAAUUGAAGGACUUUGUAGAUGCUGACUAUGCGGGAGAUGAGGGUAAGAAAUCAACUUCCACUUACGUAUUUACCUUAUCUAACUCGUGUUAGUUGAAAAUCACAAUUACAACACAUUGUUGCACUAUCCACAACAGAGUCAGAAUAUAAGCUCCCACUGAAGCAAUUAAAAAGGCUCUAUGGCUUAGAUGUUUACUUCAUGAACUAUUUGUCUUGAAUGAUUAUGUGGUAGUGUGUUCUGAUAGUCAGCUGUCUAUAUAUUUAUGCAAAAACACUAUUUUUCAAGAUCGCACUAAACACAUUGAUGAUAGACUACACUUUAUUAGAGAUAUAGUAUCUCAAGAGAUUAAAAGACUGGAAAAGGUCCACGCACAUUACAACCCUUCAAAUAUGGGCACGAAAGUGCUACUGCUGGUAAACUUUAGAAGUUGCAAGGAUCUUCUAAAUAUCGGUACAGGUAAAUGAUUUUUAAUUUUAUUGGUUCUCUGUUAGAGUUGUUACUAACAGGAGACGUUUUCUUUUGCAGGUCCUUUGACACCAAGGUGAAGAUUGUUAGGCAAUUUGUUGUCAAACGACCUCUCGGGCGAUGAUGUAAACUCGAUUUUAAUUAAUUUCAAUCAGCAUUGACCAUAUGACUGAACGAUAUGUCAACACCACUAUUGAGAUGACC
Molecule: long non-coding RNA, 1120 nt
Filed under: Olea europaea (common olive)
Lineage: Eukaryota; Viridiplantae; Streptophyta; Magnoliopsida; Lamiales; Oleaceae
Description: long non-coding RNA (OEUR_LNC001468)
Source: RNAcentral